RNAcentral lists this ribosomal RNA (497 nucleotides) under uncultured bacterium. RNAcentral's name for it is "partial 16S ribosomal RNA". It matches the Rfam family "Bacterial small subunit ribosomal RNA", at positions 28 to 507 of the family's 1533-position model. The record is from RNAcentral.
GAUGAACGCUGGCGGCGUGCCUAAUACAUGCAAGUCGAGCGAACAGAUAAGGAGCUUGCUCCUUUGACGUUAGCGGCGGACGGGUGAGUAACACGUGGGUAACUUACCUAUAAGACUGGAAUAACUCCGGGAAACCGGGGCUAAUGCCGGAUAAUAUGUUGAACCGCAUGGUUCUACAGUGAAAGGCGGCUUUGCUGUCACUUAUAGAUGGACCCGCGCCGUAUUAGCUAGUUGGUGAGGUAACGGCUCACCAAGGCAACGAUACGUAGCCGACCUGAGAGGGUGAUCGGCCACACUGGAACUGAGACACGGUCCAGACUCCUACGGGAGGCAGCAGUAGGGAAUCUUCCGCAAUGGGCGAAAGCCUGACGGAGCAACGCCGCGUGAGUGAUGAAGGUCUUCGGAUCGUAAAACUCUGUUAUUAGGGAAGAACAAAUGCGUAAGUAACUGUGCGCGUCUUGACGGUACCUAAUCAGAAAGCCACGGCUAACUACGUG